AAUCAACGCUGGCGGCGUGCCUAACACAUGCAAGUCGAACGGGAAGGGGAGCAAUCCCUGAGUACAGUGGCGACCGGGUGAGUAACACGUGACUACCUACCCUUGAGUGGGGGAUAACCUCGGGAAACCGAGGCUAAUACCGCAUAAUAUCGCAAGAUCAAAGGAGCAAUCCGCUCUUGGAGGGGGUCGCGGCUGAUUAGCUAGUUGGUAGGGUAAUGGCCUACCAAGGCGAAGAUCGGAUCCGGCCUGAGAGGGCGCACGGACACACUGGAACUGAAACACGGUCCAGACUCCUACGGGAGGCAGCAGUGGGGAAUUUUGCGCAAUGGGGGAAACCCUGACGCAGCAACGCCGCGUGGAGGAUGAAGCUCCUUGGAGUGUAAACUCCUUUCGACCGGACGAUAAUGACGGUACCGGUGGAAGAAGCACCCGGCUAACUCUGUGCCAGCAGCCGC
RNAcentral lists this ribosomal RNA (455 nucleotides) under uncultured bacterium. Its description in RNAcentral is "bacterial SSU rRNA". It matches the Rfam family "Bacterial small subunit ribosomal RNA", at positions 32 to 518 of the family's 1533-position model. The record is from RNAcentral.